GGGGUGGUAGCUCAGUUGGUCAGAGCAGUCGACUCAUAAUCGAUCGGUCGCCGGUUCAAGCCCGGCCCACCCCA
RNAcentral lists this transfer RNA (74 nucleotides) under Antricoccus suffuscus. It matches the Rfam family "tRNA". Rfam says of the family: Transfer RNA (tRNA) molecules are approximately 80 nucleotides in length. Lineage: Bacteria; Bacillati; Actinomycetota; Actinomycetes; Geodermatophilales; Antricoccaceae. The record is from Rfam by way of RNAcentral.